RNAcentral lists this transfer RNA (73 nucleotides) under Neotoma lepida (desert woodrat). It matches the Rfam family "tRNA". Rfam says of the family: Transfer RNA (tRNA) molecules are approximately 80 nucleotides in length. Their secondary structure includes four short double-helical elements and three loops (D, anti-codon, and T loops). Further hydrogen bonds mediate the characteristic L-shaped molecular structure. tRNAs have two regions of fundamental functional importance: the anti-codon, which is responsible for specific mRNA codon recognition, and the 3' end, to which the tRNAs corresponding amino acid is attached (by aminoacyl-tRNA synthetases). tRNAs cope with the degeneracy of the genetic code in two manners: having more than one tRNA (with a specific anti-codon) for a particular amino acid; and 'wobble' base-pairing, i.e. permitting non-standard base-pairing at the 3rd anti-codon position. The record is from Rfam by way of RNAcentral. Lineage: Eukaryota; Metazoa; Chordata; Mammalia; Rodentia; Cricetidae.
UGGGGUGUAGCUUAGUUGGUAGAGUGCUUGCCUAGCCUUGAGUAAGCCCUAGGUUUGAUCCCUAGCACCACAU